RNAcentral lists this ribosomal RNA (447 nucleotides) under uncultured bacterium. Its description in RNAcentral is "partial 16S ribosomal RNA". It matches the Rfam family "Bacterial small subunit ribosomal RNA", at positions 329 to 792 of the family's 1533-position model. The record is from RNAcentral.
GGCCAGACUCCUACGGGAGGCAGCAGUGGGGAAUAUUGCACAAUGGGGGAAACCCUGAUGCAGCGACGCCGCGUGAGUGAGGAAGUAUUUCGGUAUGUAAAGCUCUAUCAGCAGGGAAUAGAAAAGAAGGUACCUGAAAAAGAAGCCCCGGCUAACUACGUGCCAGCAGCCGCGGUAAUACGUAGGGGGCAAGCGUUAUCCGGAUUUACUGGGUGUAAAGGGAGCGUAGACGGAAAGGCAAGUCAGAAGUGAAAGCCCAAGGCUCAACCAUGGGACUGCUUUUGAAACUGUCAAACUAGAGUACGGGAGGGGCAGGCGGAAUUCCUGGUGUAGCGGUGAAAUGCGUAGAUAUCAGGAGGAACACCGGCGGCGAAGGCGGCCUGCUGGACCGUGACUGACGUUGAGGCUCGAGAGCGUGGGGAGCAAACAGGAUUAGAUACCCCCGUA